Molecule: ribosomal RNA, 1311 nt
Filed under: uncultured bacterium
Lineage: Bacteria
Description: bacterial SSU rRNA
Rfam family: Bacterial small subunit ribosomal RNA
Source: RNAcentral
GAUGAACGCUGGCGGCGUGCCUAACACAUGCAAGUCGAGCGGCAGCGAGGGGUGCUUGCACCCUGUCGGCGAGCGGCGAACGGCUGAGUAACGCGUGGGAACGUGCCCUAAAGUGAGGGAUAACGCACCGAAAGGUGUGCUAAUACCGCAUAUGAUCUUCGGAUUAAAGCUUUAUGCGCUUUGGGAGCGGCCCGCGUCGGAUUAGGUUGUUGGUAGGGUAAUGGCCUACCAAGCCGACGAUCCGUAGCUGGUCUGAGAGGAUGACCAGCCAGACUGGAACUGAGACACGGUCCAGACUCCUACGGGAGGCAGCAGUGAGGAAUCUUCCACAAUGGGGGCAACCCUGAUGGAGCAACGCCGCGUGCAGGAUGAAGGCCUUCGGGUUGUAAACUGCUUUUAUAAGUGAGGAAUAUGACGGUAACUUAUGAAUAAGGAUCGGCUAACUACGUGCCAGCAGCCGCGGUCAUACGUAGGAUCCGAGCGUUAUCCGGAGUGACUGGGCGUAAGAGUUGCGUAGGUGGUUAGUAAAGCGAAUAGUGAAAUCUGGCGGCUCAACCGUACAGGCUAUUAUUCGAACUCACUAACUCGAGAGUGGUAGAGGUUACUGGAAUUUCUAGUGUAGGAGUGAAAUCCGUAGAUAUUAGAAGGAACACCAAUGGCGUAGGCAGGUAACUGGACCAUUUCUGACACUAAGGCACGAAAGCGUGGGGAGCGAACCGGAUUAGAUACCCGGGUAGUCCACGCCGUAAACGAUGGAUACUAGCUGUUGGAGGUAUCGACCCCUUCAGUAGCGAAGCUAACGCGUUAAGUAUCCCGCCUGUGGAGUACGGCCGCAAGGCUAAAACAUAAAGGAAUUGACGGGGACCCGCACAAGCGGUGGAUCGUGUUCUUUAAUUCGAUGCUAAACGAAGAACCUUACCAGGGCUUGACAUCCAGGGAAUUUUUGGGAAACCAAUUAGUGCCUUUUGGAACCCUGUGACAGGUGAUGCAUGGCCGUCGUCAGCUCGUGUCGUGAGAUGUUUGGUUAAGUCCAUCAACGAGCGCAACCCUUGUGAAUAGUUGGAUUUUUCUAUUCAGACUGCCCCGGUAACGGGGAGGAAGGAGGGGAUGAUGUCAGGUCAGUAUUUCCCUUACGUCCUGGGCUAGAAACACGAUACAAUGGCUAGUACAAUGCGCAGCGAAGCCGCGAGGUGGAGCAAAUCGCAUCAAAGCUAGUCCCAGUUCGGAUUGGAGGCUGAAACUCGCCUCCAUGAAGUCGGAAUCGCUAGUAAUCGCAAAUCAGCAAGUUGCGGUGAAUACGUUCCCGGGUCU